AGCGAACGCUGGCGGCAUGCCUAACACAUGCAAGUCGCACGGGGGGGCUUCGGCCUCCCAGUGGCGGACGGGUGAGGAACGCGUAGGGACCUGUCGAGGGGUGGGGGAUAACCGCGGGAAACUGCGGCUAAUACCGCAUGACGCCGCGGCGUGACAGCCGGGGCCAAAGGCGAAAGCCGCCCGCCGAGGGGCCUGCGUCCGAUUAGCUGGUUGGCGGGGUAGCGGCACACCAAGGCGUCGAUCGGUAGAUGGUCUGAGAGGGUGAUAAGCCACACCGGGACUGAGACACGGCCCGGACUGCUACGGGAGGAAGCAGUGGGGAAUAUUGGAAAAUGGGAGCAAGCCUGAUCCAGCAAGGCCGCGUGGGUGAAGAAGGUCUUCGGAUUGGAAAGCCCUUUCGGAGGGGACGAUGGUGACGGUACCCGAAGAAGAAGCCCCGGCUAACUUCGUG
This 451-nucleotide ribosomal RNA is filed under the name uncultured bacterium. Its description in RNAcentral is "partial 16S ribosomal RNA". It matches the Rfam family "Bacterial small subunit ribosomal RNA", at positions 30 to 507 of the family's 1533-position model. The record is from RNAcentral.